AUACUUACCUGGCAGGGGAGAUACCAUGAUCCUGAAGGUGGUUUUCCCAGGGCGAGGCUCAUCCAUUGCACUCUGGAUGUGCCGACUCUUGCGAUUUCCCCAAAUGUGGGAAACUCGACUGCGUAAUUUGUGGUAGUGGUGGACUGCGUUCGUGCUCUAGUA
This 162-nucleotide small nuclear RNA is filed under the name Pongo abelii (Sumatran orangutan). RNAcentral's name for it is "U1 spliceosomal RNA (ENSPPYG00000022267.2)". It matches the Rfam family "U1 spliceosomal RNA". From Rfam's summary of the family: U1 is a small nuclear RNA (snRNA) component of the spliceosome (involved in pre-mRNA splicing). Its 5' end forms complementary base pairs with the 5' splice junction, thus defining the 5' donor site of an intron. There are significant differences in sequence and secondary structure between metazoan and yeast U1 snRNAs, the latter being much longer (568 nucleotides as compared to 164 nucleotides in human). The record is from Rfam by way of RNAcentral. Lineage: Eukaryota; Metazoa; Chordata; Mammalia; Primates; Hominidae.